AGUGAACGCUGGCGGUAGGCCUAACACAUGCCAGUCGAACGGCAGCACAGUAAGAGCUUGCUCUUACGGGUGGCGAGUGGCGGACGGGUGAGGAAUACAUCGGAAUCUACUUUUUCGUGGAGGAUAACGUAGGGAAACUUACGCUAAUACCGCAUACGACCUACGGGUGAAAGCAGGGGAUCUUCGGACCUUGCGCGAUUGAAUGAGCCGAUGUCGGAUUAGCUAGUUGGCGGGGUAAAGGCCCACCAAGGCGACGAUCCGUAGCUGGUCUGAGAGGAUGAUCAGCCACACUGGAACUGAGACACGGUCCAGACUCCUACGGGAGGCAGCAGUGGGGAAUAUUGGACAAUGGGCGCAAGCCUGAUCCAGCCAUACCGCGUGGGUGAAGAAGGCCUUCGGGUUGUAAAGCCCUUUUGUUGGGAAAGAAAAGCAGCAGGUUAAUACCCCGCUGUUCUGACGGUACCCAAAGAAUAAGCACCGGCUAACUUCGUG
RNAcentral lists this ribosomal RNA (492 nucleotides) under uncultured bacterium. RNAcentral describes it as "partial 16S ribosomal RNA". It matches the Rfam family "Bacterial small subunit ribosomal RNA", at positions 29 to 507 of the family's 1533-position model. The record is from RNAcentral.